Molecule: long non-coding RNA, 463 nt
Organism: Eurytemora carolleeae
Lineage: Eukaryota; Metazoa; Arthropoda; Copepoda; Calanoida; Temoridae
Exons: 3
Source: RefSeq, a predicted model, not a curated record
CACUAAAUGUUUUUGAAAAAAAGUUAUAAUUUUUCAUGGAAUUAUUAUUAUUUCUGCAGUGUAUACUUAACAGUUUAACAUAAACUUUCUUUAUCAGAAUGAUCAAAUAUUUGAUGUUGGCAGCCUGCUUGGCUAUGGGAGUUUCUUCUAAAAUAUAUCUGAUUGAAACUGCAGAGAGAAAAGAUGUCUUACCAUCCGUCUUACCAGUAGAAUCUACUCCAGAAAUAAAUUCAGCUGUUUACCCCCUUGAGCAAACUGCCUCAGUCCCGGCCCCAGCAUCUCCUACCAUCCCACUGCAGUCCCAAGUCCCCACCGCACCUUUGGAGGCCACAGCACCCGUCGUCAACCCAUAUGAGACAUUAGCAGCAGCCAGUGCCCCCAUUGAGGCCCCAAAAAGUAACAGAUUAAUGAAAUAACAAAUCUAUAUAUUUAAUUUGUAAUAAAUUUUAUUACCAAAACCGUA